GACGAACGCUGGCGGCGUGCUUAACACAUGCAAGUCGAACGGAAAGGCCCUGCUUUUGUGGGGUGCUCGAGUGGCGAACGGGUGAGUAACACGUGAGUAACCUGCCCUUGACUUUGGGAUAACUUCAGGAAACUGGGGCUAAUACCGGAUAGGAGCUCCUGCUGCAUGGUGGGGGUUGGAAAGUUUCGGCUGUGGGGGAUGGACUCGCGGCUUAUCAGCUUGUUGGUGGGGUAGUGGCUUACCAAGGCUUUGACGGGUAGCCGGCCUGAGAGGGUAACCGGCCACAUUGGGACUGAGAUACGGCCCAGAAUCCUACGGGAGGCAGCAGUGGGGAAUAUUGCACAAUGGGCGGAAGCCUGAUGCAGCAACGCCGCGUGCGGGAUGACGGCCUUCGGGUUGUAAACCGCUUUCGCCUGUGCCGAAGCGUGAGUGACGGUAAUGGGUAAAGAAGCACCGGCUAACUACGUG
This 468-nucleotide ribosomal RNA is filed under the name uncultured bacterium. Its description in RNAcentral is "partial 16S ribosomal RNA". It matches the Rfam family "Bacterial small subunit ribosomal RNA", at positions 28 to 507 of the family's 1533-position model. The record is from RNAcentral.